UCUUGGAAAGGAGGGAGUAGAAACCAGUCACGUUACAGCGGCACCAAAAGCCUCUUUCCCAGUCCGGCUCGUUUGGCUUCCUCGACGUAUACGUCGCCGCCGCCAACCCACGAUGUCGCCGCCGCCGCUCCUACCAUCCCACGAUGUCGACCCUGCCACCGCUGCCGCCAUCCCGUGAUGCCGCCGCCGAUUCCUUCCUGACGCUCAUGGUGGGGCGCGUUAGCACUGCACGGUCCCGCCGUCCCUGGCGCCCGUCGUCGCGCUGUGGUGACUGCACCGCGAGGGCGCCUCCUGCUGGCAACGGUUGUAGGUCCUCUUGCUAAUCCUUUUCUAUCUCAUAUCAAUGACAUCUUGAGCUUAAGAUUUCCAUCAACUCAUCAAUUGAUCUGAAAAAGGGACACAGAUUCACGGUGUAAUCUCAUCUCCCCAAUCCCUUUUCUUUUUUAUUCUAUAAAUAAUAUCUCAUAUUUCGAGUUCUGACAAAUAUGCAGCAUGCCAACAUAAAUCUUUUAGGCCAAUUACUGAAUCAAUCACAGGAUGGCUGAUGCAGCGGCUAAGGAAGCGGCCGUCGUAGUCAGUGAGGUUGCAGAGUGAAGGGACUGCAGUGGACUGUUGGCGCCAAGAUCCCUACUCUAUUCUCCAUCUUUUCAAUUCAUCACAGUAGACAGAAGCAUACAAUUAGCUUUAUCCCUAAUGUUUCGGCAAGAAAAUAAGUGGGAUGUGUACAUGGCAUGUGUAUCCAUAAGGGUCUUGACUCGAUUGUAUAAUGUUGGAAGGUGGAGCAUGCAAGUUGGUGUGGUCUGCAUAACUGCAUUGCUUCUGGUGGCACAACAAAAUCUGCAUGAAUUGAAGGAUGUGUGUUUCUCUCGAGUACAUGCUAAAUCUUGGAUUAUCUCCAUGGCAUAUCCAAUCGUCCUGCCAUUUAAUGGAGGUCAACUGGUAGUCAGAUUUUAGAACUAUUGGACAUCCACAGUAAGCUUCAAGUACGAGCUGUACAUGCAUAUGUUUUCUGGCAAAACUUUAUUCCUUAAAGGUAUAUCCUCCUUAGAUCUCUCAAGUCAGAUAUGCAUGUGAAGGGAAAAAAGUUAAGAGCUAUGCCGUCGGCGUCCUAGCCAAGAAUCUCGGAUCAGGUUUUCCCCAAAGCAACGCACGCAAGGUGCUUCCAUCAGCAACAGGGUUGCCUGGAUGCCCGCUUACCUGCCCAUUUAUAAACCAUGUAAGGUACAUGGUAGCUCCUCCCCAGUCGGAUCUAGAAGUAUAUCACAUAAUCUUGUGACUGGCCCGUUCUGUGCAUUGAUCUUGAAAAAGGGCAGAGGCUCAGAGUACAUGAUGGACUCGAUUUGUUAAUACAGUGUCCCAGCCACCUAUGAUCCCUUUCCUUUCCAAUUUUUAAAUCCUCUCUGUUUCACCCAGCAUGCUGCCUUUUCAGAAUAUAAUCAGUGAAUCAAUUGGUUAGUGGGAACAUAGUUGAUGCAACGGAGCAUAUUUUGUAUGGACCAUACUUUGUCUGAAGCAGAUUGAGUUGGCGUGGUGACCUGCAAGGCUGUAGAGUGGAGAAACUACACUCUGCCCCAAACAUAUAGGCAAGUGUCCCCUUAUUCAUAAAUUUCCUUCUGCAUUUUACACUUCAUUGAACUCAUUAAAUAGCCCCACAAAUUGGCUUAUAUCUAACAUGGAGAAAAAUAACAUUCAGUUUUUUUAGAUCUAUCAGCAAUAAUACUAUUGAUUGGUGUAUGAGACAAAGAACAGCAUAGAGAUUUGAUCUGCUUCUCCUCAAGCGGCACGACACAAUCCUUGCACUAGGUCUAUGGUCUUUGCAACAUAAAGUAAAUACUGGACAACAAGUUCACUUUGAUGCUUACAUGGGGCUUUAUGAAGAUUCGCAUGUCGCGCUCAUAUUUAGAUGAAGUUUAAAGAUAUUUACUAGUUUACUUGACCUAAUAUUUCCUAACAGUAGUGUUAGCUAAUGAAAUUAGUUGAUGUUUCUCAUAGUUUUAAAUAGUGCGCUGUCUUGGCGCUAGAUUGCUACCGGUUAAAUAAAGUUACCUAAAUCAGUUUUCACCAAAUUAUUGUAUUAGGCAUUCCGCCAUGCACAAAUUAGUAUUCAGAAAUUUAUGUACCAACCUAAUUAUAUAUCCCCAUAUCAAAUAAGAUUUAGAAUCUUCAUCUUCAAUGUCAUAUGAUUUUAGGUACUAGCAACAUGCAGUAUGACAUAACUAUAUAUCACACUAAAUUGCUUAUGCUCUUGCAGCCUUGCAUAUACAACUCAAGUCCCCACUUCUGUAUGUAUUGCUGAUAUACCUUUUUUCCCCUUUCUAAUCCAUGUACAGAUCUGUUGUGUGUGUGGACAGAGGAGUAGUCAUAUCUGUGAUUAGAGAAGCAUUGAUGGGGUUGAGUUGGUGGACGUUUUUCUCUCAAAAAAUACAGACUACAUGUUUGUGCAUUGAUCUCCCAUUGUAAUCUUGAUUUGCAUAGCUAGAGUAUUUCAGUUUGGUAUGUGUCUCCUUAGUAAGUGGAGUAAUAUGAUCUAAAAGACAGAAGAUGGUCACACAACUGGAGAUGAAUACUGACUGGAUUUGUAAGCCUCCACAAUGUUAAAGGGAUUUGGCAGGCCAGGUGGCUACCGUGGGUCCUUAUUUUCCUCUCGUCCCUGGCGGCUGGAACCCUAGCCGCCGCCCAGGGAGGCCGAUCUUCCAACGCCGCUCUCCGGCGGCUCCCCUCCGCCGGCGACCUCGGUCGUCGGUGGUGAGGGGGGCCGCCGGAUCCACGCGUGUGGAUCAUUUUUACUCUCGUAGUCUAGGUUUUUAGGUUGUUAAUCGUCUUUGCUUCGGCGGUGACGAUGACAACGUUGAAUAAAGAUUCUUCGGAUCCUUCCCUGAUGAGGCCAUCGGUCCUAUGGUUGGGGAUGGAUUUGGAAACCAGUUGUUCAAGCAAGGAUGGUGUGGCGGCGGCGACAUCCUCGUGGUGGACCUGUGUCCUCGGGCUCCGCCGUUGUGACGGCGUUUGCUCCAGCGUCGGCGCGGAGCUUGGGAGGUAGUCCAGGAGCGGAUGCAGAUUGUGGUCUGCAUCGACAACAUCUGAAAGACGGAGCAUGUGCUGGGCUCGUGGUUCGUGGAUAGCAUAUAUGGUUUCCUCCUUUGGUGUUUUAGUUGUGGUGGGGUGCUAGAUCUGGAGUUCGAUGGCGUGUCGGGGGUGUUGCCCCGGUCUGAUUCGUUCAACGGUAAGGGCUUCACUUUUGGUGAGCCACCUUGGAGGUCCGCAAAGCUGCAUAUCAGUGAUGGAGCCGCGUCGAGCUCGGGUGAGAAGGUGAUUCGUCAUUCUUUUCUUCGGUGGCUACUGUGGUGGUGCCGGAGGUAGGUGACGGGCGUUGGUGUCAAGCUCAGAGAUGUUCUGCUAUCUUUUCAGUUUUGUCAUGUCGGUCUUUACGUGACUUGUACUUUGUUCUUUAUGAUAUGAAUGAGACACGUAUUACCAUGAAAAAAAAGACUCCACAAUGUUUUUUUGACACUUUUGUACAUAUAAUCAAACAAAAAAAACAUUGUCGCUACUCCUGUUUAAGUGUGGGUAGGGAUGAUGCUCUGUAUAUUUGCAGUCUCCAUUGGUGUCGACCAAUAAUAUACCUAUUAUAAGAAAUAUACGACCCUGUCUUAUUUGCUGUCAGGUCAACACUUGAAUAAAUCAUACUUUCAUUUAAUUUUAUAUUAGCCAACAUCUGCUUUAAUUUUAUUGAAGAACUUAUUUUUAUAUUACAUAUACGGUUUAGCUUGCUAUCUUCACCAUGUGACGUGACCCAAAAUUAUUCUUAAAAAGGCUAUUAUCAGGUUAUACGCAGUUACUAUGAGCCUAUGAGGUGAUAUUUAAUUAGCACAUAAAUGAAUACUCAUGAUUGUUCUAACGUAUUGCAUCUUAAAAGGUCUACCUGGAUACGCUUUUAAAUAAUGACUUGCAUUAUUUUCAAAAAAAUUCCCCACUUACCAGAUGAUCCUUGGCCGUGAGAAAUAGUUGCAUCCGUUGUUCAGGCUAAUUUUGGCUACUUACUAUUGGACGAGAAAAUAUGUGAACAUAAAUUAGGCUAAUUUUGGCUACUUACUAUUGGACGAGAGAAAUAUGUGAACAUAAAUUAGUUGCUUCUUUCUGGACCUGCUUUAAAAUUAAAUUAUUAACUGAUGAUUAGUUGUCAUGGAGAUGAUUUCAAAAUAUUCUCUAAUUGAAUUAUGGCAACCAAGCUGGAGCAAGUUUUCCAAAUACAUAUUUAUCUAUGAAAACUUGCAUAUUUUUACCUUGCAAGAUCACUAGCUAUUGGAGGGGGCUGAGAUCCCCACUUCUGUAUGUAUUGCCGAUAUACCUUUUUUUCCCUUUCUAAUCCACGUACAGAUCUAUUGUGUGUGUGUGUGUGGACAGAGGAGUAGUCAUAUCUGUGAUUAGAGAAGCAUUGAUGGGGUUGAGUUGGUGGAUGUUUUUCUCUCAAAAAAUGCAGCCUAUGUGUUUGUGCAUUGAUCUCCCAUUGUAAUCUUGAUUUGCAUAGCUAGAGUAUUUCAGUUUGGUAUGUGUCUCCUUAGUAAGUGGAGUAAUAUGAUCUAAAAGACAGAAGAUGGUCACACAACUGGAGAUGAAUACUGAUUGGAUUUGUAAGCCUCCACGAUGUUUUUUUGACACUUUUGUACAUAUAAUCAUACGAAAAAAACAUUGUCGCUACUCCUGUUUAAGUGUGGGUAGGGAUGAUGCUCUGUAUAUUUGCAGUCUCCAUUAGUGUCGACCAAUAAUAUACCUAUUAUAAGAAAUAUACGGCCCUGUCAUAUUUGCUAUCACGUCAACACUUGGAUAAAUCAUACUUUCAUUUAAUUUUAUAUUAGCCAACAUCUGCUUUAAUUUUAUUGAAGAACUUCUUUUUAUAUUACAUAUACGGUUUAGCUAGCUAUCUUCACCAUGUGACGAGACCCAAAAUAUUCUUAAAAAGGCUAUUAUCAGGUUAUAUGCAGUUACUAUGAGUCUAUGAGGUGAUAUUUAAUUAGUACGUAGAUGGAUACUCAUGAUUGUUCUAACGUAUUGCCUCUUAAAAGGUCUACCUGGAUACGCUUUUAAAUAAUGACUUGCAUUAUUUUCAAUUUUUCCCCUACUUACAAGAUGAUCCUUGGCCGUGAGAAAUAGUUGCAUCCGCUGUUGAGGCUAAUUUUGUCUAGCUUGCUACUUACUAUUAGACGAGAGAAAUAUGUGAACAUAAAUUAGUUGCUUCUUUCUGGACCUGCUUUAAAAUUAAAUUAUUAACUGAUGAUUAGUUGUCAUGGAGAUGAUUUCAAAAUAUUCUCUAAUUGGACUAUGGCAACCAAGCUGGAGCAAGUUAUCUAAAUACACAUUUAUCUAUGAAAACUUGCAUAUUUGUACCUUUGCAAGAUUUUGGAGGGGGCUGAGAGAUGCUGCAUCCGUUUCUUCGAAAAAAUAAAGGCUGAGAAAGGCCUCCUGUUGUCCUUUGUGUGGUGCUAGGCUGCUGUCUCGGAUGGAAUAACACAACAUCGCUUCUGUUGCAUGCCCAAAGAACAGAAUGAAUGGUAUCAUUUAAAAUUGAUGGAUUGAGUUUGCUGAAGACUUUUUCAUUUGCAUUCCUCCUUUUGAACGAUACUAACAUCACUGUGUAUUGUGUAGUUUCUGUUAAAUGUACUCCUUCAGUAGUUGUGCAUACAGUGUGAGGGCAUUUUCUUCAAUUGCGCAUCUUGCCCCAGUUAUGAUUUAUAAUUAUAAAUGUUUUUAGGACAUAAAAAAUAUGUUUUUUUGUUUAAGAUUGAAAAAACAGGCUUAUGUAUUAUGAAUGCUUAUAAGUUUUAACUUACUUUAAAUAUUGCUCACAAUUUUCAGCUAUGUAUGCAACACAUUUGCAAAUAUGCUAGCCCGUGCAGCGGUUGACGACUUGUAAAUAUAGUUUAGCCACCACUAGCUCACACCAACACAAGAACUGAU
Molecule: long non-coding RNA, 5952 nt
Organism: Triticum aestivum (bread wheat)
Lineage: Eukaryota; Viridiplantae; Streptophyta; Magnoliopsida; Poales; Poaceae
Exons: 5
Source: RefSeq, a predicted model, not a curated record